UACGGGAGGCAGCAGUGGGGAAUCUUGCGCAAUGGGCGAAAGCCUGACGCAGCCAUGCCGCGUGAAUGAUGAAGGUCUUAGGAUUGUAAAAUUCUUUCACCGGGGACGAUAAUGACGGUACCCGGAGAAGAAGCCCCGGCUAACUUCGUGCCAGCAGCCGCGGUAAUACGAAGGGGCUAGCGUUGCUCGGAAUUACUGGGCGUAAAGGGAGCGUAGGCGGACAUUUAAGUCAGGGGUGAAAUCCCGGGGCUCAACCUCGGAAUUGCCUUUUGAUACUGGGUGUCUUGAGUAUGAGAGAGGUGUGUGGAACUCCGAGUGUAGAGGUGAAAUUCGUAGAUAUUCGGAAGAACACCAGUGGCGAAGGCGACACACUGGCUCAUUACCUGACGCUGAGGGCUCGAAAGCGUGGGGAGCAAACAGGGAUUUAGAUACC
RNAcentral lists this ribosomal RNA (433 nucleotides) under uncultured bacterium. RNAcentral's name for it is "bacterial SSU rRNA". It matches the Rfam family "Bacterial small subunit ribosomal RNA", at positions 340 to 786 of the family's 1533-position model. The record is from RNAcentral.